CGCCGCGCUGCCGCGCCUGGCCGCGCUGGCCGCGCGCGCGCUCUCGCAGCUGCACACCGACAACCCCAUGCAUCUAAAAGCUAUAGAGCAAGCGAGAGCCGUGAUAGCGGAAGCGAGAGCGGUUGAAUGACAUUUGAGUUGUGAAGGCGCGUCGACUUCACACACGCAAGCAGCCAGCGCUGAGUACACGACGACACACACAGCAGGAGACACAACCAUUAUCAUAUUAGAGUGAAGGCAUUUGUUAUACUGCGAUAGUUUACACAAAUUAAGAACCACGCAAAAAACAUUAAACAUUUUUUGCUAUAAUCUUAGAAGGUCUAUAAUAAUGACACACAUUGAUGACGUUCGGUGGAAUAGCCAAACUGUUAUAGGUCAAUUCUUGCAUAUGAAAACAAAUGAAAGAAUAUCAAAUAUUUUGAUACUUAACGAGGAGUUGUGAUGUUAGGAUAGUGACGAAAAUGUUUAUUAAAUGAAAAAUAUUUAAGGUUCUCAAAACAAGCUUACAAUGUUCUCUUUCACAAAACAGAAAUGUCUUCUAUGUAGAUUGUAGUCUCUUCAUUAGAUUGUCAAAUUGUGUCCACAUUUCUUAGUAUAUAAAAUGUGUAAAAAAGCUUCGAAGCUUUUGUUGCUGUGUUAGGUUUAAGCGAUUGGUCUUACCAACGAUAUAAUAGAUGGCGCCUUUGUGUGAGAACCACUUCUGAAUUCAGGAUUAAGACGAUGCCAGAAAUAUCGUGCGAGUUUCAAUAAUUUGCAGAUCUGUGGAGCUCUACUAUCAAUUACAGAUCAUUAUUUGAACCAAAAUUUUAUUUCUAGCUAAUAAAAACUAUAAUAUUGACUAUAAAUUGGAAAAUUCAUAAACGAUAUUUUAAAAAAUGCGAUAUUUAAAAAGCUUUGCUUUUUCGCGUGGACCGAUCUUAUUGUCAAUUUAGAAUUAACCGAAAAAAAAUCAUCUUUGAAAUUUAUUGCAACAUGCAUGUUGCUGGCACCGCGACCGUCUAAAUCACCUUUUUAAUAGCUGACAUACAAGUGUUCUAGUGUAAAAUUAUACAUGUGGUAUACAAAACGAAUUAGAGGCGGUGGUGUGGCCACUAAAGGCGCGGUUUACAUUUAAAUAUAGUUAAACGUAAUUUACAAGUUGUGAUGGCUGGUGCAGCACGAUCAUUGUGAAUGAUGCGAGUAUUUAAUGUAAAUAAUACGAAGGGGUCAGAACAAGAGUGAGAAAUAAAUGGUAUGAACUUUA
Long non-coding RNA from Trichoplusia ni (cabbage looper), 1243 nucleotides. RefSeq lists it as uncharacterized. Lineage: Eukaryota; Metazoa; Arthropoda; Insecta; Lepidoptera; Noctuidae. The record is from RefSeq and is a predicted model, not a curated record. The transcript is spliced from 2 exons.